RNAcentral lists this unclassified non-coding RNA (314 nucleotides) under Hevea brasiliensis (rubber tree). The record is from RNAcentral. Lineage: Eukaryota; Viridiplantae; Streptophyta; Magnoliopsida; Malpighiales; Euphorbiaceae.
CUUGGAACCUCUUGUAAAUCUCCUCCCACAAUCAACAAGAUUAUUCGUAGGUGUUCUGCUUCAUAUAAGCCUUCUGGAACUUCAAAUGAUCCAAAUUUACAGAGAAUAGAAGAAUGACGAGUUUGUAGCAGACUGCUUCCUGGAUGAGAAUGAUCCAGUAUCACAAAUUCUUUCCCUGCUACAUAUCUUGCAAGAUUGUGAAUGAUAUCACGCAUUUUAUACCUAGUCAUGCUGCCAGUGUUACAUUUCUCUGCUUCUUGAAAGAAACACAUCCACAGCAAAUCAUUGAAGUACUCAUUGCCAAUAUCUUCUGG